Molecule: transfer RNA, 77 nt
Filed under: Campylobacterota bacterium
Lineage: Bacteria; Pseudomonadati; Campylobacterota
Description: Epsilonproteobacteria bacterium (hydrothermal vent metagenome) tRNA-Arg
Rfam family: tRNA
About the family: Transfer RNA (tRNA) molecules are approximately 80 nucleotides in length. Their secondary structure includes four short double-helical elements and three loops (D, anti-codon, and T loops).
Source: RNAcentral
GCACCAGUAGCUCAACUGGAUAGAGCAUCAGACUUCGGAUCUGAGGGUUAGGGGUUCGAUUCCUCUCUGGUGUACCA